UACGUAGGGGGCGAGCGUUGUCCGGAUUUAUUGGGCGUAAAGGGUUCGCAGGUGGCCUUUUAAGUCAGAUGUGAAAGAUCACAGCUCAACUGUGGUAAGCAUUUGAAACUGAAAGGCUUGAGUUAAGGAGAGGAAAGUGGAAUUCCUAGUGUAGCGGUGAAAUGCGUAGAUAUUAGGAGGAAUACCAGUGGCGAAGGCGACUUUCUGGACUUAUACUGACACUGAGGAACGAAAGCGUGGGGAGGCAAACAGGAUUAGAUACCCUGGUAGUCCCUGA
RNAcentral lists this ribosomal RNA (277 nucleotides) under uncultured prokaryote. RNAcentral's name for it is "partial 16S ribosomal RNA". It matches the Rfam family "Bacterial small subunit ribosomal RNA", at positions 524 to 800 of the family's 1533-position model. The record is from RNAcentral.